AGUGAACGCUGGCGGUAGGCCUAACACAUGCAAGUCGAACGGCAGCACCGUAAGAGCUUGCUCUUACGGGUGGCGAGUGGCGGACGGGUGAGGAAUACAUCUGAAUCUACUUUUUCGUGGGGGAUAACGUAGGGAAACUUACGCUAAUACCGCAUACGACCUACGGGUGAAAGCAGGGGAUCUUCCGACCUUGCGCGAUUGAAUGAGCCGAUGUCGGAUUAGCUAGUUGGCGGGGUAAAGGCCCACCAAGGCGACGAUGCGUAGCUGGUCUGAGAGGAUGAUCAGCCACACUGGAACUGAGACACGGUCCAGACUCCUACGGGAGGCAGCAGUGGGGAAUAUUGGACAAUGGGCGCAAGCCUGAUCCAGCAAUACCGCGUGGGUGAAGAAGGCCUUCGGAUUGUAAAGCCCUUUUGUUGGGAAAGAAAAGCAGCAGGUUAAUACCCCGCUGUUCUGACGGUACCCAAAGAAUAAGCACCGGCUAACUUCGUG
RNAcentral lists this ribosomal RNA (492 nucleotides) under uncultured bacterium. RNAcentral's name for it is "partial 16S ribosomal RNA". It matches the Rfam family "Bacterial small subunit ribosomal RNA", at positions 29 to 507 of the family's 1533-position model. The record is from RNAcentral.